UAGGCGACCGGGUGAGUAACACGUGACUAACCUACCCUCGAGUGUGGAAUAACAUCGGGAAACCGAUGCUAAUACCGCAUAAUAUCGCAAGAUCAAAGCAGCAAUGCGCUUGAGGAGGGGGUCGCGGCUGAUUAGCUAGUUGGCGGGGUAACGGCCCACCAAGGCGAAGAUCGGUAGCCGGCCUGAGAGGGCACACGGCCACACUGGCACUGAAACACGGGCCAG
RNAcentral lists this ribosomal RNA (225 nucleotides) under uncultured bacterium. Its description in RNAcentral is "partial 16S ribosomal RNA". It matches the Rfam family "Bacterial small subunit ribosomal RNA", at positions 95 to 334 of the family's 1533-position model. The record is from RNAcentral.